GACGAACGCUGGCGGCGUGCUUAACACAUGCAAGUCGAACGAAAAUACCAAGCUUGCUUGGUUGAUUAGUGGCGAACGGGUGAGUAACACGUGAGUAACCUGCCCCUUACUUUCCUGGAUAACUGCUCGAAAGGGUAGCUAAUACGGGAUAUUCUGACCAGUCUGCAUGGGUUGGUUUGGAAAGGUUGUUUUUCUGGUGAGGGAUGGGCUCGCGGCCUAUCAGCUUGUUGGUGGGGUGAUGGCCUACCAAGGCUUUGACGGGUAGCCGGCCUGAGAGGGUGGACGGUCACACUGGGACUGAGAUACGGCCCAGACUCCUACGGGAGGCAGCAGUGGGGAAUAUUGCACAAUGGGCGCAAGCCUGAUGCAGCGACGCCGCGUGAGGGAUGAAGGCCUUCGGGUUGUAAACCUCUUUCGUCAGGGAACAAGGCACUGCUUUUGGUGGUGUUGAGGGUACCUGGAUAAGAAGCGCCGGCUAACUACGUGCCAGCAGCCGCGGUAAUACGUAGGGCGCAAGCGUUGUCCGGAAUUAUUGGGCGUAAAGAGCUCGUAGGCGGCUGGUCGCGUCUGUCGUGAAAACUUCCGGCUCAACCGGGGGCUUGCGGUGGGUACGGGCCGGCUAGAGUGCGGUAGGGGUAACUGGAACUCCUGGUGUAGCGGUGGAAUGCGCAGAUAUCAGGAAGAACACCGAUGGCGAAGGCAGGUUACUGGGCCGUUACUGACGCUGAGGAGCGAAAGCGUGGGGAGCGAACAGG
RNAcentral lists this ribosomal RNA (755 nucleotides) under uncultured Actinomyces sp. RNAcentral describes it as "bacterial SSU rRNA". It matches the Rfam family "Bacterial small subunit ribosomal RNA", at positions 28 to 776 of the family's 1533-position model. The record is from RNAcentral. Lineage: Bacteria; Bacillati; Actinomycetota; Actinomycetes; Actinomycetales; Actinomycetaceae.